GUGAACGCUGGCGGCAGGCCUAAUACAUGCAAGUCGAACGGCAGCACAGCAGAGCUUGCUCUGUGGGUGGCGAGUGGCGGACGGGUGAGGAAUACAUGGGAAUCUGCCCAGUCGUGGGGGAUAACGUAUGGAAACGUACGCUAAUACCGCAUGCGCCCUUUGGGGGAAAGCCGGGGACCUUCGGGCCUGGCGCGAUUGGAUGAGCCCAUGUUCGAUUAGCUAGUUGGCGGGGUAAAGGCCCACCAAGGCGACGAUCGAUAGCUGGUCUGAGAGGAUGAUCAGCCACACUGGGACUGAGACACGGCCCAGACUCCUACGGGAGGCAGCAGUAGGGAAUAUUGGACAAUGGGCGCAAGCCUGAUCCAGCCAUGCCGCGUGAGUGAAGAAGGCCCUCGGGUUGUAAAGCUCUUUUGUUGGGGAA
RNAcentral lists this ribosomal RNA (421 nucleotides) under uncultured bacterium. Its description in RNAcentral is "bacterial SSU rRNA". It matches the Rfam family "Bacterial small subunit ribosomal RNA", at positions 29 to 446 of the family's 1533-position model. The record is from RNAcentral.